UCUGUUGCAUAAGUUGUUUGAUUCCUAUUAUGAGUGGUACAAAUACAAAACGCCAAGUGGAGAAGGAAGCGAAAGUCGACAAACAUCCGUUGGAAGUACAGAUUUAUAUGGUUCAUCAAGUAGUGUGAACGAUGUUGAUAUCGAUAUGGGUUUUACUUAUGAUGAUGAUCCUUUUGCUUCGUUUACCCAAAUGAUGGCGGAUAAAGGGGUUAUUGAGGAAUCACCGAACGAGCUGGAUAUUUAUUUGAUGGAAAAGGUCGAAGUGAUGAAGUCUAACAACUUAGGUUGUGAAUUUGAUAUUUUGUCAUGGUGGAAGGCGGUCAAUGGUAAAUUUCCAAUCCUGGCGGAAAUGGCGAGAGAUUUAUUAGCAAUACCGGUCUCAACGGUUUCAUCCGAGUCGGCAUUUAGCACUGGGGGUCGCAUUCUAGAUCAAUAUCGGAGUUGUUUAACUCCUCAUAUGGUUGAAGCAUUAGUCCUUACACAAAAUUGGUUAAUGUCUCCUCUUAGUUCGGAUGAAAAACGUAGCUUCGGUGAUUUGAUCGCAGAAAAUGAGUUUAUGUUUGCAUUGGCGGAAGAGUUUAAAAAAUCGUCGGGACAAGAUGACUCGGGACAAGUUGAUUUGUGUGUCAUCUAGAAUGAAGCUCGUCAAGGUUCGAUAUAUGGAGCUCUUGUGCGAGAAGAUUGUUGAAGAAACGUUUUAUGUUUGUUUUUUAUUUUUUAUAUGAGA
Molecule: long non-coding RNA, 727 nt
Organism: Tarenaya hassleriana
Lineage: Eukaryota; Viridiplantae; Streptophyta; Magnoliopsida; Brassicales; Cleomaceae
Exons: 3
Source: RefSeq, a predicted model, not a curated record